GUCUGUCAUGUCCAGCCUGUGAAGAGCACGCUGGCUGAGCUGGCGAGAGGGGUGGGGGCGUCCUGGGGCUGCUUCUGCUCUGAUGAAGGCACCCACUGUCACUGUCCCGGCCCUCGCUGAGUGUUCCCGGACCCGUGGGCCCGCGUCUGUGCCAGGCCUUGGGGAGCUCCAGCCUCGGAGCCUCUUCCCGUUCUCAGACCUCAGUGCGAGGAGGAAAUCGGGUGAGUUGAGGUUAAUGUUUCCAUUAAACCUGGAUGGAUUUUCCCUGCGUGGAAGGAGCUGUUACGCGCCAGGGCUCUGAGCAGCAUGGACGGGGCCCCAGCGCAGCCACGCUCCCGAACGAAUGCCCUCCUGGGAGGGCCCGGCUGCCUGCCUGCCCCCUGUGCCUCUGCCGCCAGGCCUCGCCCUCCCUCCUCUCCUCUCUUGUGAAUAAAGGGCCUCAACCCCACCUACCCGGUGUGCUGAGGGUCCUGCUAUACUUAAACUGUAGUUAAAGCAAAAACAAACAAACAAAAACAAAAAAAACAUGCAAAACCCCUGUGGCAACAGCUUGUCCCGUGGAUAUCAUCUCCACUAAUCCAUGUCUCCUGCUCGGGGUCCUGCGGUUUCCAGGCCUGUAUCUGCGGGUACUUAUUUUCCAUUUCCUCCCGAGAGUUUAGCCUGCUAAUGAGAUUUUGGUGUCUGGUAUCUUGGCACAUGUCUCCAAAGAGAUUUAUGGGGCUUCCCUCUCCUGGCCCCUCACUUGUCCUUGGCAGGAAGCUCAAGGGGUUCGAUGUAAUCUGCUCCAGGGCCCUGGGGAGGGGGCAGAAUGUGCUGGAAGGCAGAUCUGGGUGGGGUCUGCGGCCAGAAGCUGGAUGUCUGCUCUGGAGGAGCCAGGCUGGUGGCGUGUAGUCUGUGGUGGCCCUGGGAUAACCAGAGAGGGGUGUGGGUGGGGGGUCCCCUAGACCACCGGCCACCUCGGAGCCAGUCUACAGACUUGGUGUCUCCGCCAGCGCCAGUGAUCUGAGCCGAGCGCCCCCUGCUGGUGUUUGGGCUUCCCAGUCCCACUUCACAGUGGGGGCUCCCGGCUCAGACCCACCCAUCCAUGCCACAGCACUCAGCCUCUGCUCAGGGGCUGGAUCUGGCCGGGACCUUGGGUGCUCGGGGGCCCCAUGCUCUCCAGGGACAGGGACCUUCGGCUCCACCUGCUGCCUCAGGUGGUCUCAUCCAUGUGGCUUCAGCCCAUUUUCCAGGCAGGGGACAGAGCAGCAGUGACCACAGGGCUGUACAGACACCUGGGGCAGAAGGAGCUGUGGGCCCCUGCCUGGUCCAGAGGUUUCCAGGCCGCAAGCCUGUCCCUGGCUGCUGAACGCCGGCUGGGCUCGGCCUGGGUGGAGGAGAGGCCACAAGGCUUGGGUCAGGGAGGGCCUGACCUUGCUGUGACCUUGGGCACGUCUCCCUACUCUCAACAGAGUGGGGCUAAGAGCAGUGCUGUCGUUGGUGGGAUGGAGGGAAGAUGCCUCCCAGGGGGCGUUGCUGACCCAUGGUGGGUAGAUGCCCACCAUCACCCCAGCUGCAUUUCCUCCUGGGAUCUGGAGACUGCUCAGAGUGAAGGAUUCAAGUCUGCAAAAUAGAGGGGAGACCCCUAGGAGCUUGGGGACUGCGGAGGCCCCUAGGCCCAGGUGAGUCAUGCCAGGCUGCGCUCCAGAGGGCAGACAGGAGGUGAUGUGGGCCUCAGGGCUCUGAUGGUAGCAGCUGCUGGAGAAAGAGUGGCAUCAAAGUGGAACUGGGAGAGGGCUGGGGCCAGCUGCGAUGCAGGGAUGGGUGAGGUGCUGGCUGGCUGGGAACCCCAGCCUGUGGGGGCUUUGGCGGUGAAGGUGUCUUCCGGUGGAAAUGUCUUGGGGGAGGUGGCCUGGGGCAGCUCAGAGGCUGGCUGUGUCUUCCUGGCCCUGUCAUCCUUAGCAUGGGGCGUCCAGAGUUGUUGCCUUGUGGACCAAGACAGCCCACAGCCCAUGGCAGCUUCCAGAGCCAGAAGAAGAGGAGUCAUCUCUGAAGAGCCCUGGACUACCUCCUUGCGGAUCUCAUUGGCCAGAACUUUCUGGCUCUCAUGCUCACCACAAGGCCAAUCACUAGCAAGAUAAAAAAGGAGCACCCCGAAGGGCCGAGACCAGCUGUGCCUCCGGGCAGGGGAGGGGCUGCCCCUUCCUUACCUGAACUCAAUUCAUUUUAUUUUUAUUUUUUAACAUAAAAGGCAAUGGGAAUUCAGUGAGUGGACAGCUAGCCACCUCUGUGGCUGCCUGCCGUGUGAGCACGGGCCAUGUUCUAUCUUUGAUCUCCUCUGUGAAGCGGGAAUAACAGCAGGGGCUAGGUUCUGACCCCUCAGACCUCACCCCUGAGCUUUCCAAGCCUGCAUCCAUUUGCUCUUCAUCCCUACUCUCAAGACUUUCAGCAUCCCAUCUGCAGAUGAGGACUCAGAGGCCCCAGGUUCCGUAGCUGAGCUGAGGGGCCAGAGGUCCAGCCCAGAGGCUGUUGGCUCCGUGGAACCCCGGGAGCUCCCGGCUCCCAGUAGUGCAUGAAUGUGCAUGCGUGCAUGUGUGUGAAUGUGUGCAUGCACGUGCAUGUGUGUGUGCAUGCAUGUGUGCAUGUGUGUAUGUGCAUGUGUGUGCACGUAUCACGGACAAAUACACAUUAAAGUAUGAGUGGCACGGCCGUCCCCCCUCCGUCAUUCACUCACAGCCACAUAUGCAUAUGUGUGUGAAUGUGUGCAUCGUGCAUGUGUGCAUGUCUGAGUGUGUGCAUGUCUGUGAAUGUGUGUGUGCACGCAUAUGAGUGCAUGUGUGCAUAUCUGUGUGUGUGCAUGUCUGUGAAUGUGUGCGCAUGCAUAUAUGAGUGCAUGUGUGCAUAUCUGUGUGUGAGUGUGUAACUGUGUGCAUGUCUGUGAAUGUGUGUACGCAUGCAUAUAUGAGUGCGUGUGUGCAUAUCUGUGUGUGUGUGCAUGUCUGUGAAUGUGUACAUGCAUGUGAGUGCAUGUGUGCAUAUCUGUGUGUGUGCAUGCAUAUAUGAGUGCAUGUGUGCAUAUCUGUGUGUGUGUGCAUGUCUGUGAAUGUGUGCGCAUGCAUAUAUGAGUGCAUGUGUGCAUAUCUGUGUGUGUGGGCACGCCUGUGAAUGUGCGUGUGCAUGCAUAUAUGAGUGCGUGUGUGCAUAUCUGUGCGUGAGUGUGUGCAUGUCUGUGAAUGUGUACAUGCAUGUGAGUGCAUGUGUGCAUAUGUGUGUGUGUGGGCACGCCUGUGAAUGUGCGUGUGCAUGCAUAUAUGAGUGUGUGUGCGCAUAUCUGUGUGUGCGUGAGUAUGUGCAUGUCUGUGAAUGUAUACAUGCAUAUGAGUGCAUGUGUGCAUAUCUGUGUCUGUGUGCAUGUCUGUGAAUGUGUACAUGCAUGUGAGUGCAUGUGUGCAUAUCUGUGUGUGUGUGCGCGCAUGCCUGUGAAUGUGCGUGUGCAUGCAUAUAUGAGAGUGUGUGCAUAUCUGUGUGUGCGUGAGUGUGUGCAUGUCUGUGAAUGUGUACAUGCAUGUGAGUGCAUGUGUGCAUAUCUGUGAGUGUGUGUGGGCAUGCCUGUGAAUGUGCGUGUGCAUGCAUAUAUGAGUGCAUGUGUGCAUAUCUGUGUGCUUGAGUAUGUGCAUGUCUGUGAAUGUAUACAUGCAUGUGAGUGCAUGUGUGCAUAUCUGUGUGAGUGUGUGUGGGCAUGCCUGUGAAUGUGCGUGUGCAUGCAUAUAUGAGUGUGUGUGUGCAUAUGCAUGCACAUGUAUGAUGAGCCCAGCUACCAAGGCACCUGCUAAGCACAGCACCCGCACCCUGGAAACCCUCCCACAUGCCAUCAGUGAGGGUCAUGAGUCAGCAGAUAUGAUGUGCCUGACGUCAGUGCUCCUAAGAGAAGCCUAAACAAUUUUCAUAGGAAAUGCACCUAGGGACUGCAUUGUAUAAAUGCAACACUAAUGACAGAAAAUUUCAAAAAUACUGUGCACAAAGAAAAAUAGUCUCCCCUGUUAUCACAUCCCCCAUGUCACCCACCGUAAACAUGUUGAUGUCAAAGGCUUUCGGGUUUUGUCUGUGCACGUGUUCAUGUUAUUAGGUCAUUUUUUUUUCUCACAGGUUGAGACUGUGCUGCACUGCUGCUUUGUAAACCUGGAAGAUUUUUAUCGUGAAUAAAUACCUGCCGCAACAAUGCCUAAUGCUUUUGUGGGGUUCUGUUAUUUGGAUGUGCCACUGGCGGUGACGGCUGGCCCCUGGGUGGCCAUGUAAGGUGCUUCCAAAUCUCUGCGAUGGAGACGUCACCUCAGCUGCCUCUCCAGCCACGAGUCCUGGCACCUCCCCUGCCUCCUGCUUCCUGCUGCUGCUUCUCAGCCCCCAGGCACAUUCCUGCUGCAGGGCCUUUGCACAUCCCGGGAUUCUGGGGCUGUGCCCUCCCCAGGUCUUCUCACAGUCUGUCUGUCACUCCCCUGGGGCCUCUGCUCCAUUGUUUCUGGUCUGAUGAUACCUUCCAAGUCAGUCCUCUGGAGUGGCACAUUCGGGCCACAUGACAUGCCGGCCUACACUGUCCCCAGGGACGGUGGCCACUUGCCCUCUCGCUGCCUCUCCUCCCAUGCCCACCUCCCAACCCUGGCCAGUGUUUGAAAUCUCCAGUUCUGGAUUUUUUUUCACCCCCCAUGGCCAGCUUGGUGAGAAAUGACUUCUCAUUGUUGGAGUGUGUCUGGCUACACGCGAUUGUGUGUUUCUGUGCCUCUUGUCAUUUGCCCUUGUUUUAUGAAUUGCCACUUUGACCUUUUUGCUCAUUUGUCUAUCCAGUGCCUAUCUCUUCCCAAUGAUUCCUGUGUUCUCAGUGUAGGUGGCUGGGGAUGAGAACGGGAGCUUGUCCUCCCCCAUGCUGAGUCCAGCAUUCAGGAUGGAGUGACAUCUGGAUGGCCAUCAGCAUGCACCGGGGCUGGGGCUUCUCGAGGUCAGCAGGGUUUGAGGGUUGUCAGGGCUGUGUGCCACCAGGGCUUGGCAGGUCCCCAGGUGUGGCGUUUGCCAUGCUGGUGUCCCCUGCGCCACGGCACCUGUUCCCUGUGACCUUCCCCUGUUCCUGCUUCUCAGGUGAAACGUGGCCUGGAAGCUUCUGGUUAUGUGGAAGACAACAGCUAUAGAGGCCUCCCCGUGACCUCAGGGACCAAGGGCUGUGGAGAAGGGCUCACCGGGUGCAGACAGGGGCAGGUGGCCUGGGGGUCCCGAGCCAUGACAUCGGUCCUCUGUUUAGCCGGAAGGGUGCCUGUCAUUGGCACCAGCAGGCACAGGAAGGAGGGACCUUGUGUGAUGGCAGGUGGAGGGGUCUGCAUGUGUCUCUCCCUGCCAUGGCAACCUGUCUGCCCCCGUCCACCCUGCCUUCAAGUGCCAGAGGGUCAGGGGACAGCAAGGGCCACGGUGGCAGCAAGGACCCUGCAGAUGUUGCCCUGCAGUGCCCUGGAGAUCUGUAGACCUGGGGCCCCACCUGC
RNAcentral lists this long non-coding RNA (5501 nucleotides) under Homo sapiens (human). RNAcentral describes it as "non-protein coding lnc-KIF26A-5:9". The record is from RNAcentral. Lineage: Eukaryota; Metazoa; Chordata; Mammalia; Primates; Hominidae.